GAUGAACGCUGGCGGCGUGCUUAACACAUGCAAGUCGAACGAAGCACUUUAUUUGAUUUCCUUCGGGACUGAUUAUUUUGUGACUGAGUGGCGGACUGGUGAGUAACGCGUGGGUAACCUGCCUUGUACAGGGGGAUAACAGUUGGAAACGGCUGCUAAUACCGCAUAAGCGCACGGCAUCGCAUGAUGCAGUGUGAAAAACUCCGGUGGUAUAAGAUGGACCCGCGUUGGAUUAGCUAGUUGGUGAGGUAACGGCCCACCAAGGCGACGAUCCAUAGCCGACCUGAGAGGGUGACCGGCCACAUUGGGACUGAGACACGGCCCAAACUCCUACGGGAGGCAGCAGUGGGGAAUAUUGCACAAUGGGUGAAAGCCUGAUGCAGCGACGCCGCGUGAGCGAAGAAGUAUUUCGGUAUGUAAAGCUCUAUCAGCAGGGAAGAUAAUGACGGUACCUGACUAAGAAGCACCGGCUAAAUACGUG
This 481-nucleotide ribosomal RNA is filed under the name uncultured bacterium. RNAcentral's name for it is "partial 16S ribosomal RNA". It matches the Rfam family "Bacterial small subunit ribosomal RNA", at positions 28 to 507 of the family's 1533-position model. The record is from RNAcentral.